ACGGGAGGCAGCAGUCGGGAAUUUUGCGCAAUGGAGGAAACUCUGACGCAGUGACGCCGCGUGCAGGAAGAAGGUUUUCGGAUUGUAAACUGCUUUAGAUAGGGAAGAAAAAAGACAGUACCUAUAGAAUAAGCUCCGGCUAACUACGUGCCAGCAGCCGCGGUAAUACGUAGGGAGCAAGCGUUAUCCGGAUUUAUUGGGUGUAAAGGGUGCGUAGACGGGAAAAUAAGUUAGUUGUGAAAUCCCUCGGCUUAACCGAGGAACUGCAACUAAAACUGUUUUUCUUGAGUGCUGGAGAGGAAAGUGGAAUUCCUAGUGUAGCGGUGAAAUGCGUAGAUAUUAGGAGGAACACCAGUGGCGAAGGCGACUUUCUGGACAGUAACUGACGUUGAGGCACGAAAGUGUGGGGAGCAAACAGGAUUAGAUACCCUGGUA
This 435-nucleotide ribosomal RNA is filed under the name uncultured Oscillospiraceae bacterium. RNAcentral describes it as "bacterial SSU rRNA". It matches the Rfam family "Bacterial small subunit ribosomal RNA", at positions 341 to 792 of the family's 1533-position model. The record is from RNAcentral. Lineage: Bacteria; Bacillati; Bacillota; Clostridia; Eubacteriales; Oscillospiraceae.